RNAcentral lists this ribosomal RNA (244 nucleotides) under uncultured bacterium. Its description in RNAcentral is "partial small subunit ribosomal RNA". It matches the Rfam family "Bacterial small subunit ribosomal RNA", at positions 26 to 286 of the family's 1533-position model. The record is from RNAcentral.
AGAAUCAACGCUGGCGGCGUGCCUAACACAUGCAAGUCGAACGAGAAAGUGGAGCAAUCCAUGAGUAAAGUGGCGCACGGGUGAGUAACACGUGACUAACCUACCCUUGAGUGGGGGAUAACCUAGGGAACCUGGGCUAAUACCGCAUAAUACCUUCGGGUCAAAGGAGCAAUUCGCUUAAGGAGGGGUCGCGGCCGAUUAGUUAGUUGGCGGGGUAAUGGCCCACCAAGACUAUGAUCGGUAU